RNAcentral lists this small nucleolar RNA (117 nucleotides) under Chinchilla lanigera (long-tailed chinchilla). Its description in RNAcentral is "Small nucleolar RNA SNORA84 (ENSCLAG00000021384.1)". It matches the Rfam family "Small nucleolar RNA SNORA84". Lineage: Eukaryota; Metazoa; Chordata; Mammalia; Rodentia; Chinchillidae. The record is from Rfam by way of RNAcentral.
GCCCUGUGCUUGCUAGAGGCUGUUGGACAUUGCUGCACUCCAGCGGGUAUCAUGGGCCAGAGCAGUCCAGUGACUUAUGCAUAGAACUGUUUCCUCAGCUCUGUCCCUGGUACAUGG